AACGAACGCUGGCGGCGCGUCUUACACAUGCAAGUCGAACGGCAGGAAGGGGCUUGCCCCUUCUGAGGGUGGCGGACUGGUGAGUAACACGUGGGUGACAUACCUUUUAGUUGGGGAUAGCUAUUAGAAAUAGUAGGUAAUACCGAAUGUGACCGUACCUGUUAGAGGGGUACGAGGAAAGGAGCGAAGGCUUCGCUAAAAGAAUGGCUCGGGGCCCAUUAUGCUCGUUGGUGGGGGAACGGCCCACCAAGGCGAUGAUGGGUAUCCGGCCUGAGAGGGUGAACGGACACAUUGGGACUGAGAUACGGCCCAGACUUCUACGGGAGGCAGCAGUGAAGAAUAUUCCGCAAUGGACGAAAGUCUGACGGAGCGACGCCGCGUGGAUGAAGAAUGCCGAAAGGUUGUAAAAUCCUUUUAUGCCGGAUGAAUAAGCACAGUAGGGAAUGAUUGUGCGGUGACCGUAGGGAUUGAAUAAGCACCGGCUAAUUACGUG
This 493-nucleotide ribosomal RNA is filed under the name uncultured bacterium. RNAcentral describes it as "partial 16S ribosomal RNA". It matches the Rfam family "Bacterial small subunit ribosomal RNA", at positions 29 to 507 of the family's 1533-position model. The record is from RNAcentral.